This 439-nucleotide ribosomal RNA is filed under the name uncultured bacterium. Its description in RNAcentral is "partial 16S ribosomal RNA". It matches the Rfam family "Bacterial small subunit ribosomal RNA", at positions 338 to 795 of the family's 1533-position model. The record is from RNAcentral.
CCUACGGGAGGCAGCAGUGGGGAAUAUUGCACAAUGGGCGAAAGCCUGAUGCAGCAACGCCGCGUGAGCGAUGAAGGCCUUCGGGUCGUAAAGCUCUGUCCUCAAGGAAGAUAAUCACGGUACUUGAGGAGGAAGCCCCGGCUAACUACGUGCCAGCAGCCGCGGUAAUACGUAGGGGGCGAGCGUUAUCCGGAAUUACUGGGUGUAAAGGGUGCGUAGGUGGUUUCUUAAGUCAGAGGUGAAAGGCUAGGGCUCAACCGUAGUAAGCCUUUGAAACUGGGGAACUUGAGUGCAGGAGAGGAGAGUGGAAUUCCUAGUGUAGCGGUGAAAUGCGUAGAUAUUAGGAGGAACACCAGUUGCGAAGGCGGCUCUCUGGACUGUAACUGACACUGAGGCACGAAAGCGUGGGGAGCAAACAGGAUUAGAUACCCGAGUAGUC